Molecule: ribosomal RNA, 492 nt
Filed under: uncultured bacterium
Lineage: Bacteria
Description: partial 16S ribosomal RNA
Rfam family: Bacterial small subunit ribosomal RNA
Source: RNAcentral
AGUGAACGCUGGCGGUAUGCCUAACACAUGCAAGUCGAACGGCAGCACAGUAAGAGCUUGCUCUUACGUGUGGCGAGUGGCGGACGGGUGAGGAAUACAUCGGAAUCUACUUUUUCGUGGGGGCUAACGUAGGGAAACUUACGCUAAUACCGCAUACGACCUACGGGUGUAAGCAGGGGAUCUUCGGAGCUUGCGCGAUGGUAUGAGCCGAUGUCGGAGUAGCUCGUUGGCGGGGUAAAGGCCCACCAAGGCGACGCUGCGUAGGGGGUCAGACAAGAAGGAUAGCCACACUGGAAGUGAGGCACAGUCCAGACUCCUACAGGGGGAAACGGUGGGGAAUAUUGGGCAAUGGGGGCAAGGCUAAUCCUGGCCUACCGCGGGGGGGAAGAAGGACUUAGGGUUGGUAAGCCCUUUUGGUUGGAAAGAAAAACAGCAGGUUUAUAACCCGGGGUUCUGACGGUACCCAAAGAAUAAGCACCGGCUAACUUCGUG